Molecule: ribosomal RNA, 253 nt
Filed under: uncultured bacterium
Lineage: Bacteria
Description: partial 16S ribosomal RNA
Rfam family: Bacterial small subunit ribosomal RNA
Source: RNAcentral
UACGGAGGUGGCAAGCGUUGCUCGGAAUCACUGGGCGUAAAGCGCACGCAGGCGGAUUGAUAAGUCGGGGGUGAAAUCCCGGGGCUCAACCUCGGAAUUGCCUUCGAUACUGUCUGUCUUGAGUCCGGGAGAGGUGAGUGGAAUUCCUAGUGUAGAGGUGAAAUUCGUAGAUAUUAGGAAGAACACCAGUGGCGAAGGCGGCUCACUGGCCCGGUACUGACGCUCAUGUGCGAAAGCGUGGGGAGCAAACAGG